AAAAUUUGAGAAUUGUAUCUCAACAUUAAUAAAUUGAUUAACGAUGGUAAUAUAUUAAGUACCUAUUUAAAAUUUAAAUACAUAUAUAACUCUUUUUGUUUAUUUCAGGAAAAAAAGCUAUCCUAUAAGCACUAUCAAUAAUAAAUAAAUACAGAAAAGAAAUGCCGGGUAUACCUUUACCACUCGAACCUUUGAAAAAUUAAAGAUAAUUUAAUAAAUAUUCCUGGUCCAAAUUGGAAAAAAAUUUAAAAAAAUGAACAAAAUAAAGAGUAUAAUACUUUAAAGUCUUACUAUGAAGGCAUAUCAGGUAAAGCAAAUGUUAAUUUAGAUGUAACGCCUACUUUAUUAAACUGUUUUAAAUACGCACCAAUAAUUAGUGUAGACGUAGAACAUAGUUUUUCUUUGUACAAAUAUAUUUUAAGUAAUAGAAAAUUUAAUUUUAAUGAAAAUAAUUU
Cinara cedri is the source of this 455-nucleotide non-coding RNA. Lineage: Eukaryota; Metazoa; Arthropoda; Insecta; Hemiptera; Aphididae. The record is from the annotation of a GenBank genome assembly.